GCACUGCUGAAGAGUCCCAUGCUGGGACGAAACGACUGUCCAGUGU
This is a non-coding RNA of Schistosoma curassoni, 46 nucleotides long. NCBI's taxonomy places the organism in Eukaryota, Metazoa, Platyhelminthes, Trematoda, Strigeidida, Schistosomatidae. The record is from Rfam.